UACGAAGGGUGCAAGCGUUAGUCGGAAUUACUGGGCGUAAAGCGUGCGUAGGCGGUCUCUUAAGUCCGUUGUGAAAGCCCUGGGCUCAACCUGGGAACUGCAGUGGAUACUGAGAAGCUAGAGUGUGUCAGAGGAUGGUGGAAUUCCCGGUGUAGCGGUGAAAUGCGUAGAUAUCAGGAGGAAUACCGAUGGCGAAGGCAGGUCUCUGGGCUGACACUGACGCUCAUGCACGAAAGCGUGGGGAGCAAACAGG
RNAcentral lists this ribosomal RNA (253 nucleotides) under uncultured bacterium. RNAcentral describes it as "partial 16S ribosomal RNA". It matches the Rfam family "Bacterial small subunit ribosomal RNA", at positions 524 to 776 of the family's 1533-position model. The record is from RNAcentral.